GGAAGGAUCAUUGAAUCUUUUCAUAAACAUUAACAAACCUUUACACAUGUGAAAGAUUUCUUACGUCCAGGAGGAGUAUACACAUUGUUAAAACAGUGAAGAUAAUAAUAAACUUAUAUGAACAAUAUCAUAAUUUAAUAUUGUUCAUACAGGUAUAUUAUUGUGUGUUGUCAUUGUUUUAACAAUGUGAAUACUCCUCUUGUUUUUUACUAACCAUAAACAACCAACACCAAACCAAACCUAAAAAAUACUUAUCUUUGGAGUUUUACAGCUCAAGGAGCUGUAACUCUCACCUAACCAAGAUAACUCUCAACAACGGAUAUCUUGGCUCUCAGAUCGAUGAAGAACGCAGCGAAAUGCGAUACGUAGUGUGAAUUGCAGAAAUACGUGAAUCAUCGAAUCUUUGAACGCAAAUUGCGCUCGAGGCUUCGGCCAAGAGCAUGUCUGCCUCAGCGUCGGGUUAUAAAUCUCUGUAAGAAAAUUCUCUCUGCACGUGUACGAAGUGUUUUUACGACAUGUAUGUAUGCACAGCAGAGUAUAGAGAAUUUUUUUUAUGAGGACCUGGCUGUCUCUGUGCGGUUGUAAUAAUGUGGAGUACACACUGGUGAUGUUUUUGUGUAUACAUAUAUGUGUGUGCAGUUGUUUUGUUGUUAAGUUGUACACAUACAUGUAUGUAUAUACUUGAAAAUCAUCAAGUACUCUGCAUUUUCCUCAUGUCACUGAGUCAGCUCAAGUAUGCAGCUGUUGAACUAUCAAUAAAUGAACCAUUUAAUAUGGGCCUCUACUGGGUAGGCACGACGACCUGUGCUUGCUGCAAAUCCCCGUUUGCUUUAGUAGAUGGCUUUUUGAUGGUUUGUUUUUAGUUUGGCAUCCAAAAAAAACAGGAUGGACAGGAUGGACAUGUGUGAGACAUAUAUAUGUUUUGCAUUUGUUUACUUCUUAUCCAUAAACAUAUUUUAUUUCUCGACCUGAGCUCAGGCAAGAU
This 985-nucleotide ribosomal RNA is filed under the name Pleodorina californica. RNAcentral's name for it is "eukaryotic LSU rRNA". The stretch from base 305 to 458 matches the Rfam family "5.8S ribosomal RNA". Lineage: Eukaryota; Viridiplantae; Chlorophyta; Chlorophyceae; Chlamydomonadales; Volvocaceae. The record is from RNAcentral.